GGUUAACGCUGGCGGCGUGCCUAACACAUGCAAGUCGAACGGUUCUAAGCGCGAGCUUAGGAUAGUGGCGAACGGGUGAGUAAAAGGUAGGAAUCUACCCCUUGGACGGAGAUAGCUACUGGAAACGGUAGGUAAACUUCGAUAAGCCCGAGAGGGGAAAGUGGUGAGACAGCCGAGGGAUGAGCCUACUCUCCAUCAGGUAGUUGGUGAGAUAAAAGCUUACCAAGCCGAUGACGGAUAACCGGUGUGAGAGCAUGAACGGUCACAAGGGCACUGAGAGACGGGCCCUACUCCUACGGGAGGCAGCAGUGGGGAAUCUUGGACAAUGGGCGAAAGCCUGAUCCAGCGACGCCGCGUGGAGGAAGAAGUCCUUCGGGAUGUAAACUUCUGAACUAGCCGAAUAAAAGGCCUGUGGACACACAGGAGAAGAAAGUAGGCUAGGAAAAGUCCCGGCUAACUACGUGCCAGCAGCCGCGGUAAGACGUAGGGGGCAAGCGUUACCCGGAAUUACUGGGCGUAAAGGGGGCGUAGGCGGUAAAAGAAGUCAUCUGUGAAAACCUAUUGCUCAACGAUAGGCUAGCGGAUGAAACUGAAUUACUUGAGGGCACCAGAGGUAGACGGAAUUACCCGAGUAGGGGUGAAAUCCGCAGAUACGGGUAGGAACGCCGGUGGAGAAGUCGGUCUACUGGGGUGCACCAGACGCUGAGGCCCGAAAGCUAGGGGAGCAAACCGGAUUAGAUACCCGGGUAGUCCUAGCCGUAAACGAUGCUCACUAGGUGUAGGGAGUGAUAAACUCUCUGUGCUGAAGCGAACGCGCUAAGUGAGCCGCCUGGGGAGUACGUCCGCAAGGAUG
Molecule: ribosomal RNA, 853 nt
Filed under: uncultured bacterium
Lineage: Bacteria
Description: bacterial SSU rRNA
Rfam family: Bacterial small subunit ribosomal RNA
Source: RNAcentral